This 73-nucleotide transfer RNA is filed under the name Candidatus Ancillula trichonymphae. RNAcentral's name for it is "tRNA-Thr". It matches the Rfam family "tRNA". Rfam says of the family: Transfer RNA (tRNA) molecules are approximately 80 nucleotides in length. Their secondary structure includes four short double-helical elements and three loops (D, anti-codon, and T loops). Further hydrogen bonds mediate the characteristic L-shaped molecular structure. tRNAs have two regions of fundamental functional importance: the anti-codon, which is responsible for specific mRNA codon recognition, and the 3' end, to which the tRNAs corresponding amino acid is attached (by aminoacyl-tRNA synthetases). tRNAs cope with the degeneracy of the genetic code in two manners: having more than one tRNA (with a specific anti-codon) for a particular amino acid; and 'wobble' base-pairing, i.e. permitting non-standard base-pairing at the 3rd anti-codon position. Lineage: Bacteria; Bacillati; Actinomycetota; Actinomycetes; Bifidobacteriales; Bifidobacteriaceae. The record is from RNAcentral.
GCCGCGAUAGCUCAGUUGGUAGAGCGUAUCACUCGUAAUGAUAAGGUCGUGGGUUCGAUCCCCAUUCGCGGCU